This 497-nucleotide ribosomal RNA is filed under the name uncultured bacterium. RNAcentral's name for it is "partial 16S ribosomal RNA". It matches the Rfam family "Bacterial small subunit ribosomal RNA", at positions 28 to 507 of the family's 1533-position model. The record is from RNAcentral.
GAUGAACGCUGGCGGCGUGCCUAAUACAUGCAAGUCGAGCGAACGGACGAGAAGCUUGCUUCUCUGAUGUUAGCGGCGGACGGGUGAGUAACACGUGGAUAACCUACCUAUAAGACUGGGAUAACUUCGGGAAACCGGAGCUAAUACCGGAUGAUAUUUUGAACCGCAUGGUUCAAAAGUGAAAGACGGUCUUGCUGUCACUUAUAGAUGGAUCCGCGCUGCAUUAGCUAGUUGGUAAGGUAACGGCAUACCAAGGCAACGAUGCAUAGCCGACCUGAGAGGGUGAUCGGCCACACUGGAGCUGAGACACGGUCCAGACGCCUACGGGAGGCAGCAGUAGGGAAUCUGCCGCAAUGGGCGAAAGCCUGACGGAGCAACGCGGCGUGAGUGAUGAAGGUCUUCGGAUCGUAAAACUCUGUUAUUAGGGAAGAACAGAUGUGUAAGUAACUGUGCACAUCUUGACGGUACCUAAUCAGAAAGCCACGGCUAACUACGUG